UACGUAGGGAGCAAGCGUUAUCCGGAUUUAUUGGGUGUAAAGGGUGCGUAGACGGGAAGGCAAGUUGGUUGUGAAAUCCCUCGGCUUAACUGAGGAACUGCAACCAAAACUAUCUUUCUUGAGUGCUGGAGAGGAAAGUGGAAUUCCUAGUGUAGCGGUGAAAUGCGUAGAUAUUAGGAGGAACACCGGUGGCGAAAGCGGCUCUCUGGCCUGUAACUGACACUGAGGCUCGAAAGCGUGGGGAGCAAACAGG
Molecule: ribosomal RNA, 253 nt
Filed under: uncultured bacterium
Lineage: Bacteria
Description: partial 16S ribosomal RNA
Rfam family: Bacterial small subunit ribosomal RNA
Source: RNAcentral